CAAGUCGCACGAGAAAGUGGAGCAAUCCAUGAGUACAGUGGCGUACGGGUGAGUAACACGUGGAUCAUCUACCUUCUAGUGGGGAAUACCUCCGGGAAACUGGAGACAAUACCGCAUAAGCUCGUAAGAGGAAAGCAGCAAUGCGCUGGAAGAGGAGUCCGCGGCUGAUUAGCUAGUUGGCGGGGUAACGGCCCACCAAGGCGAAGAUCGGUAGCCGGCCUGAGAGGGCACACGGCCACACUGGCACUGAAACACGGGCCAGACUCCUACGGGAGGCAGCAGUGGGGAAUCUUGCACAAUGGAGGAAACUCUGAUGCAGCGACGCCGCGUGAGCGAUGAAGCCCUUCGGGGUGUAAAGCUCUUUCGACGGGAACGAUAAUGACGGUACCCGAAGAAGAAGCUGCGGCUAACUACGUGCCAGCAGCCGCGGUAAUACGUAGGCAGCAAGCGUUGUUCGGAAUUACUGGGCGUAAAGAGUGUGUAGGCGGUGUUCCAAGUCUGUUGUGAAAUCUCCCGGCUUAACUGGGAGGGUGCGGCGGAAACUGGGAUGCUAGAGGAUGGGAGAGGUAAGCGGAAUUCCUGGUGUAGCGGUGAAAUGCGUAGAUAUCAGGAGGAACACCUGUGGUGUAGACAGCUUACUGGACCAUUUCUGACGCUGAGACACGAAAGCGUGGGUAGCAAACAGGAUUAGAUACCCUGGUAGUCCACGCCCUAAACGAUGCAUACUUGGUGUGUGCGAUUCAUUUCGUUCGUGCCGGAGCUAACGCGUUAAGUAUGCCGCCUGGGGAGUACGGUCGCAAGGCUGAAACUCAAAGGAAUU
This 820-nucleotide ribosomal RNA is filed under the name uncultured Bacillota bacterium. RNAcentral describes it as "bacterial SSU rRNA". It matches the Rfam family "Bacterial small subunit ribosomal RNA", at positions 58 to 911 of the family's 1533-position model. Lineage: Bacteria; Bacillati; Bacillota. The record is from RNAcentral.